CGGGUAAGAGCUGCUCCAUCUUCAUCAAGGCAUUCUAAGCAGAUUCUUCAGUGAGCUUUACCACUGUUUCAAGCAAAACCCACAAAAAUAUGUGCAAUAAACAAAAUGUGCCAAGUGUAGAAAUAAGAAACAAAUGACAAAGGCUCAGUGUUUUGAAAUUAAGGCUUUGUUUCAUAACUAUUUCUUAAGAAUGCAUAUUGGCCUGGGAUGUUCUAGAAAUCCUUCUCUUAGUGGCUACAGCGGUGAGACAACUGUGUUCCCAUCGCCAUUUCUCCAGAAGUGCUCUGAAAAAACUGCUUCCCCAAUUUUUCCUUGGUGUUAAACUGAGGCCCUUUAGCCAAAAGCUUCUAUUGAUGAUAUCUGAAACCAACUAUGUUUUCCCACUACAAAAAUUAAACCUUGAAGAGACACCAUACAGUUCUUGCUAUUUGCUCUCAGUUCGCCGGUGAAAUUAUUCCAUGUCCUCUCAUAUUACCUCACCAGGUAAUCAAAGGAGGAUGAUCAUCAUUGAGCAAUAGCAAAUAUCAGCAUCCCCAAGGUUUCUGGUCUAUGUAAAUGACUAAACUGCUGAGCAAAAGGCACCUAUGUUUUUAACAACCGAGCACUAUGUAAUGCAAGCUAAAGAAAUAAGCCCAGAAAAAGUUUUCUUAGAAUCUGUUUAAAAAAAAGCCUCCAAAGGAAUGAGCCACAAUCACAUACACUCAUCCAAAAGCAGAUCUUUAAUUUAUUAUUCAAACGUGCAUUACGCCAUGAAUUCAUAGGGAAUUGGCUCCAGCAGCUCCGGAUCCUUCCCGUUAGUCCUCACAAAGUGUGCUUCUCUUGGUGGAGCAGGCUGACGUUUCAGUUGAACCCAAAUGCCUUUUUCUUUUGCUUCCUUUUUCUUCUUUUCAUUCUCCUUCACACGCUGCAAAAAGCUGUCUCUGCUCUUGGAAUGUUUAAUAUGCUCAAUACGCACAUUAAUUCUCUUGGCAAGAAUCUUACCCUUAACCUUCUUGUUAACAAUAACACCCACAGCGUGUUGAGUAACAUUAUACACCCUUCCAGUCUUGCCAUGGUAACACUUGUGAGGCAUACCUUGUUGAACUGUACCCAUACCCUUGAUAUCAACUAUAUCGCCUUUCUUGUAGAUGCGCAUAUAGGUAGCCAGAGGGACAACUCCAUGUUUGCGAAAGGGCCUCGAGAACAUAUAACGAGUUCCCCUCCUCUUUCCCUUUGUGUUCGUCAUUUUGGCUGAUUACUGAAAGCGGCCACCACGCUUCAGCGUGGCUCGCCCAGCACUCACAAGAUGGCGGCGCGGGCCGAAAGGAGAGAGGCGGCGCCGCGGCCGCCCUUAACAGCGGGGCCUCGGCGGGGCUGCCCGCCCUGCGCCUGACAGAAAGCGUGCGGCGGGCUGCCCGCUGCCUGCCUGCGCAGGGCGGCGAGUGGUUGUUACUUAAAGAUAAUAGAUAAAAGAUAAUAGAUAAAAAUGUAUUUGAUCCCCUUACUAACUUCACAGUUAUUCUGAUGUGUAUCCUGCAAAACGCAGGCCUAAAAGCCCUUUCUGUCAACGUUUACAGCGAGUUUAAUAUUCAUGGGCCGCAAUGGUUGUGGAGGAUGAGGUGCGCGGUCAGGUUCUGCCUGCAGAACUAGCUGGCGGAGCAUGUUCUGACACAGAAGGGCCCUGUCUGUGCACAAAAUCCAUUAAACUGUUGUAGUUGGAAACACGCAGACUGUAUUCCAGCUCCGCGCUAUGAAAAAAGCCCAACCUGAUAUCUCUGAUACCUGUGCAAGGGAAAUCUGUAUCAUUCAAUAAGCAUUCAGGUGCCAGGAAAUGCCCCCAGGCUUGGAGGAAGGCUGAGCAGCCCUUGGGUGAAGAAACAUAUUGGCAACAGAGAUGUCAGGAAGGACAUCAAGCAGAGCGAAGACAGGAGGCUAAAUCCAAUCCUAAGGUGUUAUUGAAUAAAGAAAGAUCGUUAUCUUCAGUGAGCUGAACUCCUUCCUCCUGCCAGUGAUUUUCAUAAAGGGUGCAUUUCCACAUUGAGCAGGAAAGAAUGGGAAAGAAACUCCACAUGUUGAAACAGAUUUCAGCGUACAGAUCUUGUAAGUGUAAUUCAUAAAGGAGCAGCAACUAUGAACUGAAUUGAACUCUGCUUUACUUGGGAUCCAGUCAGACAUUCAGGAUUUGCUACAUUUUUUUUCCCCCUGAAUAAAUGGCACGGUGGCUUUAUUUGAAAUUUCAAUAUUGUUCUCAUUUCUAACAUUUAUUUUGAUGCUCAACAUUUCAAAGAGUCAGUUAUAUUUCAGAAUUUGUUACCAUAGAAUCAUUUACUGGCCAUGCUGUCAGGGUCUGACCCAG
RNAcentral lists this long non-coding RNA (2335 nucleotides) under Gallus gallus (chicken). Lineage: Eukaryota; Metazoa; Chordata; Aves; Galliformes; Phasianidae. The record is from RNAcentral.